Molecule: ribosomal RNA, 253 nt
Filed under: uncultured bacterium
Lineage: Bacteria
Description: partial 16S ribosomal RNA
Rfam family: Bacterial small subunit ribosomal RNA
Source: RNAcentral
UACGUAGGGGCCUAGCGUUGUCCGGAUUUAUUGGGCGUAAAGAGCGUGUAGGCGGCCAGGUAGGUCCGUUGUGAAAACUCGAGGCUUAACCUCGAGACGUCGAUGGAAACCAUCUGGCUAGAGUCCGGAAGAGGAGAGUGGAAUUCCUGGUGUAGCGGUGAAAUGCGCAGAUAUCAGGAAGAACACCCGUGGCGAAGGCGGCUCUCUGGGACGUGACUGACGCUGAGACGCGAAAGCGUGGGGAGCAAACAGG